GCGGUGGUGACCAGCGACGGUGCCUAGCAGAAGAAGCUCGGCGGAGCGGAGUUUUGGAGUUCAGCGGAGGCGCUGUUGAUUGAAGCUUGCUUCCUAGCGGAGCUUUGGCCGCUGAAGAAGUGUGGCGGAUACUUGCCGCUUGUUAGCGGUGUACAGUGUACAGUGUGGCGGAGGAUUUUCCGUCGGAGGUUGGCUAGCAAUCCGUUUCCAGCGGAGGAUGGCCUACUGGAGGUAGCAGUCGAGCUUGCUGGCGGUGAAGCCUUGACUGGCGGAGCUCCUUUUGGAGAGUAGGAAGCUAGCGGA
This 303-nucleotide long non-coding RNA is filed under the name Rosa chinensis. RNAcentral describes it as "sRNA RchiOBHm_Chr1g0363661". The record is from RNAcentral. Lineage: Eukaryota; Viridiplantae; Streptophyta; Magnoliopsida; Rosales; Rosaceae.